RNAcentral lists this ribosomal RNA (433 nucleotides) under uncultured bacterium. RNAcentral's name for it is "partial 16S ribosomal RNA". It matches the Rfam family "Bacterial small subunit ribosomal RNA", at positions 29 to 507 of the family's 1533-position model. The record is from RNAcentral.
AACGAACGCUGGCGGCAUGCCUAAUACAUGCAAGUCGAACGAGAUCUUCGGAUCUAGUGGCGCACGGGUGCGUAACGCGUGGGAAUCUGCCCUUGGGUUCGGAAUAACUUCUGGAAACGGAAGCUAAUACCGGAUGAUGACGUAAGUCCAAAGAUUUAUCGCCCAAGGAUGAGCCCGCGUAGGAUUAGGUAGUUGGUGAGGUAAAGGCUCACCAAGCCGACGAUCCUUAGCUGGUCUGAGAGGAUGAUCAGCCACACUGGGACUGAGACACGGCCCAGACUCCGACGGGAGGCAGCAGUAGGGAAUAUUGGACAAUGGGCGAAAGCCUGAUCCAGCAAUGCCGCGUGAGUGAUGAAGGCCUUAGGGUUGUAAAGCUCUUUUACCCGGGAUGAUAAUGACAGUACCGGGAGAAUAAGCUCCGGCUAACUCCGUG